This 1122-nucleotide long non-coding RNA is filed under the name Homo sapiens (human). RNAcentral's name for it is "long non-coding RNA NONHSAT151180.1". The record is from RNAcentral. Lineage: Eukaryota; Metazoa; Chordata; Mammalia; Primates; Hominidae.
UACAAGAAGAGGUACUCGGAGCUGGAGCAGCAGCUGCUGGAGAGAUCCGGAGAGCUGGAGCAGCAGCGGCUAAGGGACACAGAGCACAGCCAAGACCUGCAGAGUGCCCUCAUCCGGCUGGAGGAGGAGCCGCAGAGGAGUGCCAGCCUGGCCCAGGUGAAAGCCAUGCUCCGAGAACAUCUGGACCAGGCAGGCUCGGCCAACCAGGCUCUGAGUGAGGACAUACAAAAGGUGACCAAUGACUGGACACGCAGCCGCAAGGAGCUGGAGCAGCGGGAGGCGGCAUGGAGGCGCGAGGAGGAGUCUUUCAAUGCCUACUUCAGCAAGAAGCACAAUCACCUGCUCCUGCUAUGGAGGCAGGUGGUGGGGUUCCGGCGGCUGGUCAGCGAGGUGAAGAUGUUCACCGAGAGAGUGACAGAGCUGGGCCUGGCAGUGAAGCGUCUUCAGAAGCAGAAUCCGGAGAAGGAUCAGGUCAACACGGACCUCACUGAGAAGCUUGAGGCCCUGUCCGUCCUGUCGGACACAGAGCGGCGUCCAGCUGAGCGGCUCCGAGCGCACCGCGGAUGACUCCUUCGGCAGCCUGCGGGGGCUCUCGGCCCAGCAGACCCCGUCCCCACCGCGGCGCUCCUCGCCCGGCCGAGGCCGUUCACCCCGCCGAGGCCCCUCCCCGGCCUGCUCAGACUCCUCCACGCUCGCCCUGAUCCACUCCACCUUACACAAGCACGAGCUGCAGGUCCAGGACAUGCGUGGGCGCUAUGAGGCAAGCCAGGACCUGCUGGGCACCCUGCGGAAGCAGCUUAGCGACAGCGAGAGUGAGCGGCGGGCCCUAGAGGAACAGCUGCAGCGCCUGCGGGACAAGACCGACAGCACCAUGCAGGCCCACGAGGACGCCCAGCGCGAGGUGCAGCGGCUGCGGAGCGCCAAAGAGCUCCUGAGAAGGGAGAAGAGCAACCUGGCCCACAGCCUGCAGGUGGCCCAGCAGCAGGCCAAGGAGCUGCGGCAGGAGCGGAAGAAGCUGCAGGCUGCCCAGGAGGAGCUGCGGCGCCAGCGGUACUGGCUGGGGGAAGAGCAGGAGGACGCAGUGCAGGAUGGUGUGCGGGUGCGCCGGGAGCUUGAGCACAG